Molecule: long non-coding RNA, 206 nt
Filed under: Mytilus galloprovincialis (Mediterranean mussel)
Lineage: Eukaryota; Metazoa; Mollusca; Bivalvia; Mytilida; Mytilidae
Source: RNAcentral
CACGAGUAUUGUCCUCCUCAAUUUGAAUUUCAACAGUGUCAUUAUUAUUUAUGUUAUUCUUUCUUUACCUUCUCUGUUUCCUGCCACCUUCUCUGUCAAGGCUCAACCGCAGCCAAUCUUUAGCUGCAUCCUCUAUCUCCUUAUCUUCUGAAAGAAAUAAUAUUUCUAUGGGUUCCAAGUCAUGUUGGAAUCCUUGGACACACAGC